GGAAUAUCCAUCAGGCAAAGAAAUGACUUCAGAGGAAUUAAAACAGGCGAUUGUAUCGAUGAUGUUAAGAAAAGAUGAAGUUGAAGAACGUAACAGGUUGUAUUAUCGUCCUUCGUUUAAUAUUAACAUUCCAUUCGAAUAUACACUAUUUUGCCCUGAUUUUUCCUUCGAUCAUCUUUCCUGUAGAUCGUUACAACAACAUUUGGAAAAA
Molecule: long non-coding RNA, 211 nt
Organism: Xenia sp. Carnegie-2017
Lineage: Eukaryota; Metazoa; Cnidaria; Anthozoa; Malacalcyonacea; Xeniidae
Exons: 2
Source: RefSeq, a predicted model, not a curated record